RNAcentral lists this ribosomal RNA (409 nucleotides) under uncultured bacterium. RNAcentral describes it as "bacterial SSU rRNA". It matches the Rfam family "Bacterial small subunit ribosomal RNA", at positions 29 to 459 of the family's 1533-position model. The record is from RNAcentral.
AACGAACGCUGGCGGCAGGCCUAACACAUGCAAGUCGAACGAGAUCUUCGGAUCUAGUGGCGGACGGGUGAGUAACGCGUGGGAACGUGCCCUUCUCUAACGGAAUAGUCCUGGGAAACUUGGGUUUAAAUACCGUAUACCGCCCGUUACGGGGGAAAGUAAGUUUCGGGGAAGGAUCCGGCCCGCGUUGGAUUAGGUAGUUGGUGGGUAAUGGCCUACCAAGCCGACGAUCCAUAGCUGGUUUGAGAGGAUGAUCAGCCACACUGGGACUGAGACACGGCCCAGACUCCUACGGGAGGCAGCAGUGGGGAAUCUUAGACAAUGGGGGCAACCCUGAUCUAGCCAUGCCGCGUGAGUGACGAAGGCCCUAGGGUCGUAAAGCUCUUUCGCCGGGAUGAUAAUGACAGUA